GUUCUCUUUUGCUGUUUCAUCUUUUGCUGUGUAGAAGCUGUUCAGUCAGCCCUCAGUUCUUCUUCAGGAGGAAUUGUACUAUAAAUAAGUAUAAUUUGUUGUGUCCUGUGGAGAAGCUGUGAUGUCAGAUGUCUGGAGCCCAAGCAUCCAUCUUGGACCUUGAAGAGAAGCUUGGGUAGGGGUGGAAAAGGAGCAAGGUUCUUGAGUGUGGAAGCAAAAAUUGCACUGGACGAAGUUAAAGAGAUAUUCCUCCUAAUUUCUUGUGGACUUGGUUUUUCAAAUCCCUGUCAAAUAUUAAGCUUCUGUGGAGCAUCGCUGUGUUGCUGGUGACUAAUGUGGCUCCAGAAGAUAGUACUUGAUGGUGAUACCUGCAACGACACUUUCAUAAUUGUUCAUUCUUAGAUAUGUAAGUAUAUUUUUAAAGUAUUGGCAUAGUUAUCUUGCCUGAGUGUUUCUGGAUCCUGGAUGCCUGGACACCACAAACACCAUUAGAAACCCUCUUCUCUUUCCCUCUUGACUCUGAAAAGAAAGCAGUGCUGGCCUGUAAGAAGGAUAUGGCUGUGCCAAUUAUCAUUUCUCCAGGCACUGAGGUGUUAAGACGUGUUCUCAUUUUGUGCCCUGCAGCUACACCUCCUGAGACCCACUGAGGGAAAUUCUAUUUCUCCUUCCUCUGUAUAAUUGGACUCCAUCUCCUGGAGAUCCAUCCAUAGAGUGUCAGCGUACUCUUCUGCACUUUAGGUGUGUGACACAUUCAUCUGCAAUGGUCAGAAACUAUUCCCUUAUCUCUCUUAUCCUUUCUUUUCCACUGGGGUCCUUUGACAAGGCAAUAAUAAUACUUGUACAUGAUCCAUCUCUGUAAGUCUGUUCCACCUUGAAAAGGUGUUAUGGUCUGAUUUGUGUCCUCCUCAAAUUCAUAUAUUGCAGUCCUGACCCCUAGCACCUCAGGAUGUAACCAUAUUUGAAAGUAAGGUCUUUCAAGAGGUGAAUAGCUUACAAUGAGGUCUUGACAGUGAGUCAUAAUCCAACAUGACUGGAGUCCUUAUAAGAAGAAGAAAUUUGGACAUGCUGAGAGAUACAGAAGCACACAUGCACAGAGAGACAACCAAGGGAAUAUACAAAAAUACAGCCAUCUAUAACCAGCGAAAGAGGCCUCAGAAGAAAUCAAACCUGCUGAUAACUUGAUCUUUGACUCCUAGUCUCCAGAAC
Long non-coding RNA from Canis lupus familiaris (dog), 1206 nucleotides. RefSeq lists it as uncharacterized. The record is from RefSeq and is a predicted model, not a curated record. Lineage: Eukaryota; Metazoa; Chordata; Mammalia; Carnivora; Canidae. The transcript is spliced from 5 exons.